RNAcentral lists this non-coding RNA (65 nucleotides) under Clavibacter nebraskensis NCPPB 2581. Lineage: Bacteria; Bacillati; Actinomycetota; Actinomycetes; Micrococcales; Microbacteriaceae. The record is from RNAcentral.
CUGGCCAGUCCUGUCGCGUUCCGGGUACUGAUCCCUCGUCCGGGAGCGCGGAAGGGCGCCCGGUC